CAAAUAUUGGUCAAAUAUAUGUAUCUCUCAAUGAAAUAGUGUGAUCAUGAAAGCUGUAGGUAUAUUCUUGGUAAAAAGGUAAGUGUGUUUGCUAUUCAAAAUAUAUAAACUGAUGUAAGUUUUUUUUUCCAUUUUGAGGACUCAGUCCACUCAGUAUGAUUCAUGUUUGCAAAUUUUCACUGAAAUAGUAAAAACAAGAAGUAAUUGUAACAGGAUGCUGUUACGAAGUCUCCCAAACAAAGCUCCCAUAACUCGCCAUUCAUAUGUUCAUCUGAUGAUUGCCCAAGAAUAUAUAUGCUUACGAUAGGAUCUCCACCAUUACAAGUAUUCAAACAGGAGGGUGGUGUGACCCCAGAAGUUACCUACAUUCAUUUGAUUUGUUUUAUUGUCCCCUACAAGAAUAUAUAUGGUUUUAGGGGGAUCUGGACCUUUACAAGAUAAUAGCACAUUCUCAAAUUGAACAGGGUGGGGCGACCCAAACUUCCCUUAAUUUCAUUUCUUUAUUUUAUUGUCCCCUACAAGAAUAUAUAUGGUUUAGGGGUGGAUGUUGACCGUUCACAAGUUUCAAAACAAGAGGGGUGGGGUGACCCCCUCCAGACUUCCCUUUUAUUUCAUUUCAUUUGUUUAUUGUCCCCCUACAAGAAUAUAUAUGGUUUAGGUGGGGAUCUGGACCGCUUAAAAGAUAAUAUACAUCUCAAAUUGAACGGGUGGGGUGACCCCCAAACUUCCAUUUAAUUUCAUGUGAUUUGUUUAUGUCCAUACAAGAAUAUGUAUGGUUUAGGGUGGGUGUUGACCGUUUACAAGUUUUCAACAAGAGGGGGGGGUGACCCCCUAGACUUCCCUCUUAUUUCAUUUCAUUUGUUUAUCCCUACAAGAUAAUAUGGUAGGUGGGGAGUUGACAUAUAAGUUUCAAACAAGAGGGGGUGGGGUGACCCCCGAGGGACUUCCCUUUAAUUUCAUUUCAUUUGUUAUUGUCCCCACAAGAAUAUAUAUGGUUUAGGGUAGAUCGACCAUUUACAAGAUAAUAGCACAUUAUGAAAAUGAACGUGGUGGAUACCCCCGGGGACCUCCCUUUAAUUGCAUUUGAUUGUUUUAUUGUCCCAAUCAGGAUAUAUAUGGUUUAGGUGGGGAUCUGGAUCGGUUACAAGAUAUAAGCAUAUUCUCAAAUUGAAGGGGUGGGAUGAACUCCAGACUCCCCCUAUAUUUCAUGUGAUUUUUUUAUUGUCUAUAAUCAUUUCUGAAGACUGCAUGUAUCUACCACUACAGUUUUCAAGUUAUAUUCAUUUGAAAUUUUUAGAAAAUAUCCCAUAGGCGUUCUAUAGUAAAACCCUCCCUUCUUCUACCCCCAAAAUAGCCCUUAAUAGACCCAAUGCACAAACGAAAGAUUGAUGGCUCACCUAGACUAGGUCUACCAUUUUACGAAAUUCUAAGUCAAUCUGACAAGCUUUGGAGAAACGCUGCGGACAAGUUCAUUUUAAAGUGGCGGAAAGAAGAGAAGAAGAGAGAAGAAGAAUAAUAAAAAUAAUUAAGAACUGAGCAAAAACAAUAAGUCCAAACUUUGUUUGGGAGACUUAAUAAGUUUAAACAAAAAAAGAAUAAACAAGCUCAAAAUUUCAUUUUCCCCUAAAUAAUGAAAAGAAUAAUAU
RNAcentral lists this long non-coding RNA (1646 nucleotides) under Mytilus galloprovincialis (Mediterranean mussel). The record is from RNAcentral. Lineage: Eukaryota; Metazoa; Mollusca; Bivalvia; Mytilida; Mytilidae.